CACAGUAUUCGGUCAUACAGCCCGUCCAUUCGCCAUUUGCGUGGAUCCAAUCAAUUAUAGAAUCUACACGGGCGGUAUCGAACAAACACUGUUCUGCUGGAAAUAUGAUGAACGUUCGAUUGAUUUGCGGCAAAAGAUUGCAAUUCCAAUUGGUGUUAUUCAGAAAAUCAGUAAAAUAGACGAUAGUACACUGGCGAUCAGCUCUCAAAAUGGAGAUCUUUUGGAAAUUCACGUGGAACAGCAAUCAUUGAAAUCGAAAAUUGUAAUUUUGAAAGAUGAUUUGAUGAAUUUUGCGAAUUUAAAUGGGAAAUUAGUGAUUUUAACGGCAGAUAAGUGAGUUUUUUUUUGACUAAAAUUACUUUAAAAAACCUCCAAACACGAAAUUUAAUAUUGGACUUUAUUUUUUGGAAAAUCCAAAAAAUGCAUAAUGAGAUACUAUUUAAUUCCAAGUUUGCAUUUUUAUACCAUUUUGCACAAAUUCUUCAGAAAGCCUAAAUUCCUGUGAAGGCCUAAAAUUAUUCAAUGGUCUAAAAUUCGGCGACUUGGAAAUUUGAACUCCUUUUCACUAUUUUCUAAGAAAAAAUCAUACAACUCAAUCAUCUUACAGUGAGCUAAUCCUCUUCGAAUCCGAUGCAAUGCUCCGAAUAAUAUUCCGAUGCACAAAUAUAAAGCAUAUGACGUCAUCAGAUGAUUCGGUAGUAGCGUGGCAUCAGAACACGUGGAUUGUCAUCACAACUUCGUCAGUUCAUCGAUUGAAAUUGUCAAUGAAUAUCAUCUCUGCCACGUGUCACGCCUCAUACGUGGCAAUUAAGACUAUUGAUGGAAUAAUUGUAAGAAUUAGAGAAGAAGGGAUUCGAAGGAAAACAUACUAUUUCAGCACGUCUACAACUUUGCCGACGUUGAGAAUAUCCGAUGUCUGAAAAGAUUCCGCGCACAGAAUGCAUCAAUGAUUCCGGCAGUGAUUUCAGUAGUCCACGAUAAUUUAUUGGUUAUUGGAACGACGCAUGGAGAGCUGUAUCAUGUAGAUUUAGAUGAACCGAACGAUGAUAUUCGUCUGAGCUUGAGUGUAAGGAAUAUUAUAGUUUUGCACUAAAAUCUUCCUUUUUUUUUACAAUGAAACGAGAUUUAUUUUUCCUUGUAAAGAUGAGAAAAUCUAAAAAUGAAAGGAAAAUUUCUGAAAAGCAAUUUUAAAAAAUUCGAGUACGCCACUUUUAAAGGAAUAAUCUAAAAUUAAUAUAUUCCGAAUUUUUCUGUUUUACAGAAAAAAAAAUAUUCGGAAAUUUGUAAAUAAAAUUCUCCAGAAAAACAAAAAUUUGGGUUUUGGAAAAAGUUUUUUUUAAGUCGAAAGUUAUGAGAUAAAUAAAAUGGAGAUAAUAUUAUUUAAUUAUUUCAGCUAAAAACUUCGAAAAUUUAUAUAUUUCCAGCGUUCCACGUCAUUUGAACUUUUUGGUGGAAAAGAAGUCACAUGUAUUCGAUCAAUUCCCAAUUCUUCAAUAUUCAUGACACUUGGCAAAACUGGAAUUUGGAGUACAAUUCGGUUAAUACGUGGUGGCACUACAAACUAUGAAAUGGAGGUUAUGAAUUUUCGAAGCUUCUCGACAUCAAGCAGAAUGGCAUGGCCAUCAAAGUUUAUUGAAUGGAAAGGAAAUCUCUUGAUUGUUGGAUUCUAUGGGG
RNAcentral lists this small RNA (1674 nucleotides) under Caenorhabditis elegans. Its description in RNAcentral is "Unclassified non-coding RNA Y54E5B.8". The record is from RNAcentral. Lineage: Eukaryota; Metazoa; Nematoda; Chromadorea; Rhabditida; Rhabditidae.